AACAGACAGACAAUAACAGACAGACAGACAGACAGUAACAGACAGACAGACAGACAGACAUAAACAGACAGACAGACAGACAGACAGACAGUAACAGACAGACAGACAGACAGUAACAGACAGACAGACAGACAGACAGUAACAGACAGACAGACAGACAGACAAUAACAGACAGACAGACAGUAACAGACAGACAGACAGACAGACAGACAAUAACAGACAGA
Acanthochromis polyacanthus (spiny chromis) is the source of this 224-nucleotide long non-coding RNA. RefSeq lists it as uncharacterized. The transcript is spliced from 2 exons. The record is from RefSeq and is a predicted model, not a curated record. Lineage: Eukaryota; Metazoa; Chordata; Actinopteri; Pomacentridae.